GAUGAACGCUGGCGGCGUGCCUAAUACAUGCAAGUCGAGCGAACGGACGAGAAGCUUGCUUCUCUGAUGUUAGCGGCGGACGGGUGAGUAACACGUGGAUAACCUACCUAUAAGACUGGGAUAACUUCGGGAAACCGGAGCUAAUACCGGAUGAUAUUUUGAACCGCAUGGUUCAAAAGUGAAAGACGGUCUUGCUGUCACUUAUAGAUGGAUCCGCGCUGCAUUAGCUAGUUGGUAAGGUAACGGCUUACCAAGGCAACGAUGCAUAGCCGACCUGAGAGGGUGAUCGGCCACACUGGAACUGAGACACGGUCCAGACUCCUACGGGAGGCAGCAGUAGGGAAUCUUCCGCAAUGGGCGAAAGCCUGACGGAGCAACGCCGCGUGAGUGAUGAAGGUCUUCGGAUCGUAAAACUCUGUUAUUAGGGAAGAACAUAUGUGUAAGUAACUGUGCACAUCUUGACGGUACCUAAUCAGAAAGCCACGGCUAACUACGUGCCAGCAGCCGCGGUAAUACGUAGGUGGCAAGCGUUAUCCGGAAUUAUUGGGCGUAAAGCGCGCGUAGGCGGUUUUUUAAGUCUGAUGUGAAAGCCCACGGCUCAACCGUGGAGGGUCAUUGGAAACUGGAAAACUUGAGUGCAGAAGAGGAAAGUGGAAUUCCAUGUGUAGCGGUGAAAUGCGCAGAGAUAUGGAGGAGCACCAGUGGCGAAGGCGACUUUCUGGUCUGUAACUGACGCUGAUGUGCGAAAGCGUGGGGAUCAAACAGGAUUAGAUACCCUGGUAGUCCACGCCGUAAACGAUGAGUGCUAAGUGUUAGGGGGUUUCCGCCCCUUAGUGCCGCAGCUAACGCAUUAAGCACUCCGCCUGGGGAGUACGACCGCAAGGUUGAAACUCAAAGGAAUUGACGGGGACCCGCACAAGCGGUGGAGCAUGUGGUUUAAUUCGAAGCAACGCGAAGAACCUUACCAAAUCUUGACAUCCUUUGACAACUCUAGAGAUAGAGCCUUCCCCUUCGGGGGACAAAGUGACAGGUGGUGCAUGGUUGUCGUCAGCUCGUGUCGUGAGAUGUUGGGUUAAGUCCCGCAACGAGCGCAACCCUUAAGCUUAGUUGCCAUCAUUAAGUUGGGCACUCUAAGUUGACUGCCGGUGACAAACCGGAGGAAGGUGGGGAUGACGUCAAAUCAUCAUGCCCCUUAUGAUUUGGGCUACACACGUGCUACAAUGGACAAUACAAAGGGCAGCGAAACCGCGAGGUCAAGCAAAUCCCAUAAAGUUGUUCUCAGUUCGGAUUGUAGUCUGCAACUCGACUACAUGAAGCUGGAAUCGCUAGUAAUCGUAGAUCAGCAUGCUACGGUGAAUACGUUCCCGGGUCU
RNAcentral lists this ribosomal RNA (1372 nucleotides) under uncultured bacterium. RNAcentral describes it as "bacterial SSU rRNA". It matches the Rfam family "Bacterial small subunit ribosomal RNA", at positions 28 to 1381 of the family's 1533-position model. The record is from RNAcentral.